GGCGAUGGCGGUGGUGGAGGCGGUGGAGGCGUCCGUGGUGCCGGUGAUGGGAUUUCUUCUUUCUCCACAGGGCUGACCUCUUCGACAUUCACAUUGGCACCCACUUCAGCCACGUAAACCCACCUGCUUUUUAGUCCAUGACCGGAAUGCGCCAUUGAGGAUCUUUGCUCCCUGGACUAAAUGCGAAGGAGGCUGCUUCCCAGCUUUGUGCAAUCCUAAGCAAAGCAGAGAACACAACGGCCAUUCAAUAAAGAUACAUAGGGCUGUAUUCGACAUGGGAUAAAUAGAAGCACUGCUACCUGCAACUGUGGAAGUAGAGCUAAACAAUAAUGGUGUGAUCAAAAGAAAGGUUGAGGGGGUCAACUCCAGGGGAGUGUGAUCAAGACAAAGGCUAG
Podarcis raffonei (Aeolian wall lizard) is the source of this 395-nucleotide long non-coding RNA. RefSeq lists it as uncharacterized. The transcript is spliced from 4 exons. NCBI's taxonomy places the organism in Eukaryota, Metazoa, Chordata, Lepidosauria, Squamata, Lacertidae. The record is from RefSeq and is a predicted model, not a curated record.